UUCGCUUCUCAGCCUUUUGGCUAAGAUCAAGUGUAGUAUCUGUUCUUAGGGGUUCUUUUUUGUCUACAGUGCUGUCAACAUACAUUACUAUUUGUUGUCUAAAGGCUUGCCAUUCUGACUUGGCUGAGCUGGACUCUUGAUGUAGUUUGGAUUUGUAUUUCUCUAAUGCCUGGUGGAGUUGAGCAUCU
Molecule: small nuclear RNA, 188 nt
Organism: Onychomys torridus (southern grasshopper mouse)
Lineage: Eukaryota; Metazoa; Chordata; Mammalia; Rodentia; Cricetidae
Product: U2 spliceosomal RNA
Exons: 1
Source: RefSeq, a predicted model, not a curated record